RNAcentral lists this transfer RNA (61 nucleotides) under Erianthus versicolor. RNAcentral describes it as "tRNA-Ser". Lineage: Eukaryota; Metazoa; Arthropoda; Insecta; Orthoptera; Chorotypidae. The record is from RNAcentral.
GAGAUAUAAAAAAUUAAAGCUGCUAACUUUAAUAAUAGCGAUUAAAAUAGUUAAUAUCUCU